Molecule: ribosomal RNA, 1731 nt
Filed under: Triticum aestivum (bread wheat)
Lineage: Eukaryota; Viridiplantae; Streptophyta; Magnoliopsida; Poales; Poaceae
Description: partial small subunit ribosomal RNA
Source: RNAcentral
AUGGCGAGCGCCGCCUCCUCCUCAUCCUCCUCCUCGCAGCCAGUGCGUGUCGUGCUGCGGGUGCGCCCGCUCCUCCCCUCGGAGGCCAGCUCGGCAGCGGUGCCCCCCUGCGUCUCCCUCAUCGGCGACCACCCCGGCGGCGAGGUCACCGUCCAGCUCAAGGAUCAGCACACCAGCCGGAGCGAGUGCUACAAGGUGGACGCGUACUUCGGCAAGGAGGACAGGGUUUCCGAGGUAUUCGACCAGGAGGUCAGCGCCUUGAUCCCGGGCAUCUUCGAGGGCAUCAACGCGACCGUGUUUGCCUAUGGGGCAACGGGCAGCGGCAAGACCUACAGCAUGCAGGGGAGCGAAGAUCUGCCAGGGCUCAUCCCCUUGUCGGUCGCGACAAUCCUGGCGCGCUGUACCGGCACGUGGUGCUUUGUCGAGAUCUCGUACUACGAGGUGUACAUGGAACGGUGCUAUGACUUGCUUGAGCCCAAGGCAAAGGAGAUCAUGGCACUGGAUGACAAAUUUGGUAACCUACAGCUCAAGGGCUUGGCUUGGGUCCCCGUGCGAUCCAUGGAGGAGUUUCAGGAAGUCUACUCGAUAGGUGUGCAGAGGCGGAAAGCCGCCCACACAGGCCUGAACGAUGUUUCAAGUAGAAGCCACGCUGUGCUUUCUAUCAGGGUCAGUAAUGAUACUGUCAAAGGGAAGCUUAACCUCAUCGACCUUGCUGGAAAUGAGGACAACAGAAGGGCUUGCAAUGAAGGGAUCCGCCUUCAAGAAAGCUCUAAGAUCAAUUCAUCGCUGUUUGCAUUGUCUAAUGUCAUUUCAGCUCUCAAGAAGAAUGAGUCACGGGUACCUUACAGAGAGAGUAGAUUGACCCGGAUACUGCAAGAUUCGCUAGGAGGCAAUAGCCGUGCUGUGAUGAUAGCUUGCCUGAAUCCUGUGGUAUACCAGGAGGCAGCCCACACAUUAAGCAUGGCUGCUCGUUCAGGCCAUAUGGUGACCAACAUGGCUUCAGCAAGCAAGGAACACACUCCAAAAGUAAAGGUGGACAUGGAAGCAAAAUUGCAAUUGUGGCUGGAAUCAAAGGCGAAAACUAAGAGCACCCAAAGAAUGAAUGGACUUUUCUCCCCAACUGGAUGGAGGACUCCUUCUUCGAUGAGCCAUAUGAAACAACCGCUAUCUGCCCGGGUUUCUGGUAGAGCUAAAGCAAUGGACCAAGACGGUGCUAAAAUAAAAAAGGUGCUUUUCGAUUCAGCAGUCCAUACAACAGCUGAAAACACACCAAGACGAGAUGAAGUAAAGACAACUAAGAAAGAGGUACCCCCUUCGUUAACUCCUUGGAAAGAGGACAAAUCUGAAUCUCCUCUCAGGAAAGCACUGUCUCCCAUUCCUUCAAACAUGAUGACUCCUUGUAAUGUCAAUUGCCCUCCUUCAUUGGAGCCCAAAACUCCAAUAGGAGUUGAGAAGAAUCCGGAUGGUACACCUCUUGAUAAGUUUAAUGCACUGGGAUCUAACCUAAAGGAAUCUCUUAUCCAACAAUAUCUCGAGUUCUUAAAUGUUGCAAACAAGGAAGAGCUACAGCAACUAAAAGGAAUUGGUGAAAAGAGAGCAGAGUACAUUCUCGAGCUCCGGGAGGAUUCGCCCAGACCAUUCCAAUCUCUUUCGGACUUGGGGAAUAUAGGUCUAUCAACAAAACAAAUCCAAGACAUCAUACAGAAAACAGCCACAGGAAUCUUCAAAUGA